AUGAACGCUGGCGGCGUGCCUAAUACAUGCAAGUCGAGCGAACAGACGAGGAGCUUGCUCCUCUGACGUUAGCGGCGGACGGGUGAGUAACACGUGGAUAACCUACCUAUAAGACUGGGAUAACUUCGGGAAACCGGAGCUAAUACCGGAUAAUAUAUUGAACCGCAUGGUUCAAUAGUGAAAGACGGUUUUGCUGUCACUUAUAGAUGGAUCCGCGCCGCAUUAGCUAGUUGGUAAGGUAACGGCUUACCAAGGCAACGAUGCGUAGCCGACCUGAGAGGGGGAUCGGCCACACGGGACCUGACACACGGUCAGACCCCCGACGGGAGGCAGCAGGAGGGAAACUUCCGCAAGGGGGGAAAGCCGGACGGAGCAACGCCGGGGGAGUGAUGAAGGUCUUCGGAUCAUAAAACUCUUUUAUUAGGGAAGAGCAAAUGUGUAAGUAACUAUCCACCUCUUGGCGGUACCUAAUCAGAAAGCCACGGCUAACUACUU
This 495-nucleotide ribosomal RNA is filed under the name uncultured bacterium. RNAcentral's name for it is "partial 16S ribosomal RNA". It matches the Rfam family "Bacterial small subunit ribosomal RNA", at positions 29 to 506 of the family's 1533-position model. The record is from RNAcentral.